Molecule: long non-coding RNA, 2887 nt
Filed under: Malus domestica (apple)
Lineage: Eukaryota; Viridiplantae; Streptophyta; Magnoliopsida; Rosales; Rosaceae
Description: long non-coding RNA (MDOM_LNC014435)
Source: RNAcentral
AUCCUAUUAACAUACAAUUAUGAAAUAUAACAUGCACAUAUAUUAAAUAUAACGUACCAAACAGGUAUAUUAAAUAUAACGUACCAAUCAUUUGGUACGUUAUUGGUACGUUAUAUAAAUUUAAUCUAGGUACGUAUUAGUAUUUUGGUACGUUAUAAAUAUUGCUUUCGGUACGUUGUGCAAUUCUUUAUUUAGUACGUACCAAGUUAUUAGUACGUUGUGUUAUCCUUAUUUUGGUACUUACAAAACUUAUGGUACGUUAUGUGUAAGUUGUGUAACCCAAAAAAAAAGAUAACUUUUCACAUUAAAACAUUGCACUAAAAAAUAUUUUGUCAACUCUUAAUAAUUAAUUAUUGGAAUAAGGACUCAUUUUAAAUAUAAAUAUAAAUGUGAAAACUCUUAUAGCGCGUUUACUAACCCGUAAUCGGAAUGAGAAUAAGGAAUCCGAUUCCAAUUUCGGAUUAUACAUGUGUUUACUAAAAUUGGGAGGAAUCAAAAGUGUGUGAGGCCCACACAAAAAAAUGGAAUUCAAUUCCUUAAAUUGGAGGAUUUGGAUUCCUAACAUAUACAAGGUAUUUGGAUUCCGGAUUGCCCAAGCAAUCGGAAUGAUAAUUUUUUCCCUUUAUGCCCUCACUUACUUUCAUUAUUUCCAAGAUUAUCCUUUUAACCCUAGACUUAUUUUUCUUUUCACCCAAGUCAUUUUCUAUCUUCACCCAGCUCAUUUCUUUUCACCCAACCCAUGUCCUUCUAGCUCAUUAAGCAUAAUUCUAUGCUCAUUCACAUUAUGCACAAACUCCAUACAUUGCCGAAGAGAAAAAAUUACAACUUGAGCGAGAAAAUUUAGUUAUUAAAGUCAAUACUUAAAUUUAUAAAAAAAAAAUAAACAAAAUCAUUUUAGUAUGUCUAUGAAAUAAAAAAGCAAUUUAAUUUUUUCUUACUAUUAUAUACGAUAUCAAAUUUUAUUAAAAAAAGUAUAUAAAAUAUUUGAUUUGAGACAAGGGCAUUUUAGUAAUCAUACUGGUUUAUAUUCCGAUUCUGCUAAAUUAGUAAACAGCUUUAUGGAAUUGUAUUCUGAUUCCGAACAGUUUUAGUAAACAAAUUCAACAGGAAUCUGAUUCUGAUUCCACCUCAUUUCAAUUCCUCUCAAUUUGAUUACGGAUUAGUAAACGCGAUAUUAGUUCACGUUUCUACUAUAAGUAGUUGUUGAAAAAUUCAAAUUUAUUUUCAGUUGCAUGAAAUUAGGCAGUCUAGUGUACAUCUCAAUUUAAAUUAUAAACGAACUCUUGUUUUUUUAUAAUCUAUAUAAAAUGUUGAGUUGGAAAUUGGAAAAACUAUAUUUCAUCCAAUUAAUCUUGAACCCCAGUAGAUAUAAUUGAAUCCUUAAAUUGACGAAGGGAUGAGAUUCCAUAAAAAUAGCAAUAAAUUAAUGAAUAUUAUGGAGUACAUUUUGUUUACAUAGAAAUGGAUUUAAAAGAAUUUAUAAAAUACUUAAAUUAAAAUAUACCUGGAAUAUAAAGUUUAAUUAAAAAUAAAAGCACUUUAAUCAAAAGUUCAAAAGUAACAGAUGUUUAAUUUAAAAAAAAAAAAUCUAAAAUGAGGCAUCUAAUUCUAAUUAACUGUAAAUUUUAAUCACAAAAAGUAGAUAAGAGAACUUAAAAAAAAACACUACAUGAGCAUUAUAAAGGUUUAAACGGAAUUUGUAAACGAAUUUUGCAAAUUCAUCUCAUAUGCCUUUUCUAAUAAUCAUGUUGUGCAUUUUUAAUCCCUUUUAUCUGACAUUUUGUAAUCUAUUUAUUCAUCAAUAUGCUUAAUUCCCUAAGAAUUUAGAAGUUUCGCACUCAACCAUACCCUAAAGAAAUAUAUACAUUUCCCGACUGCCGUCACUUCAAUUCUUCUAGACUUGCACUCCCAAGGAUGAUAAAAUUUGAAGCCAUUUUUCCCUUUAAUUAUUAGGUGCACUUUGCACUUACUUUGCACUUCGUUUGUUAUAUAAUUAAAGGAUUAUCAUCCAAUUAUGUAUAAAGCUCGAAUCUAAUCAAUGCAAUGAAAAAAAUUAACAUUUGAUAACUGUCAACCUGUUUGGUAUGAACCAAAAUUUCAAAGUCUUAAUCUACAACUUUUCAUAAAUAAUUGGAGGUAAGUGGUAGUUAUGAGUGUGCAAUGGUUGUGAGGUGACAUAUAUAUGUACAUGUGUGUGUGUGUAUAGAUGUAAUUUUUUUAUUUUUAUAUAUAACUAACAACAACAUGAAAUUUCAUGACAAUGACAAGUAAGGGAUCAACCAUAUUUGAGCGAGUUCAUUGAUAAAAAGUUGAAAUGCAUUUAUGAGUCUUUUCGAUUUUAAAAAAAGUAAAUUAUUGUGACAAAACUAUCAACUAAUACCCUUUAAAAAAAAACUACUUUUAUCACUACACAUGUAUCUACUUAUUAAAAGUCUAUCGAAAAUUUCUACAAGUUACGUGCUAAAAGAUUUCCAAUAAUCGUGUUAUUCACCAUUAUUAACUUGAAUUUUUUAACAUCACACGUCAUCGUAAUUGUCACACUAAAAUUUGUCAGUUGACUCAUUUUCAUUUUCAUUUGACAUGCGUUUUAAUCUAGAGGCCCAAAGACCCAGAAAAGUUGGAGGCCCAACAUUAAGCCCAAUCUAGAUUGCCUGUUUAUCUACUCUGGUCUCUCGAAGUUUUAUGAUUUUAUUUUUAUUUUUUUCCCUGUUCGACUGCGAUGUUUCAAAUCGUGGUUUUCGGGUUAGUGUUGGCUUUUUCAAAUUUUCAAUUUUUUUUUAAUUUGCAUUGUUUCUGAAUGCUGCUUUUCCAGUAAAGGUGCAAUGUGUACUGUGAUCAAGGAAGAAAAUAUCGGUAAUAUCGGAAAUAUCGGUAGUCCGAAAACACG